This 406-nucleotide ribosomal RNA is filed under the name uncultured bacterium. Its description in RNAcentral is "partial 16S ribosomal RNA". It matches the Rfam family "Bacterial small subunit ribosomal RNA", at positions 360 to 773 of the family's 1533-position model. The record is from RNAcentral.
AAUAUUGCUCAUUGGAGGGAACUCUGUCGCCACGACGCCGCGUGAGCGAUGAAGGUCUUCGAUUCGUAAAGCUCUUCCUAUGGAGAAAAAGGUCUUCGGACUUGACGGUACCUAUUCAGGAAGCCCCGGCUAUCUACGUUCCAGCAGCCGCGGUAAUACGUAGGGGGCAAGCGUUGUCCGGAAAUAUUGGGCGUAAAGGGUGCGUAGGCGGACUUUUAAGUCAGAUGUGAAAGCCCACGGCGUAACCGUGGGACUGCAUUUGAAACUGGAGGGCUUGAGUAUCGGAGAGGGUAGUGGAAUUCCAAGUGUAGCGGUGGAAUGCGUAGAUAUUGGGAGGAACACCAGUGGCGAAGGCGACUACCUGGACGAAAACUGACGCUGAGGCACGAAAGCUAGGGGAGCAAAC